This 253-nucleotide ribosomal RNA is filed under the name uncultured prokaryote. RNAcentral describes it as "partial 16S ribosomal RNA". It matches the Rfam family "Bacterial small subunit ribosomal RNA", at positions 524 to 776 of the family's 1533-position model. The record is from RNAcentral.
UACGUAGGCAGCGAGCGUUGUUCGGAAUUACUGGGCGUAAAGAGUGCGUAGGCGGUGUUCUAAGUCUGUUGUGAAAUCUCCCGGCUCAACUGGGAGGGUGCGGCGGAAACUGGAAUGCUCGAGUAUGGGAGAGGUAAGCGGAAUUCCUGGUGUAGCGGUGAAAUGCGUAGAUAUCAGGAGGAACACCUGCGGUGUAGAUAGCUUACUGGACCAUGACUGACGCUGAGGCACGAAAGCGUGGGUAGCAAACAGG